ACAGCCCCAUGCAGGUUCCAGGAGCAGCCUGGAGAAUUGGAAUGAGGGGACAGAGUUUCCCCAGCAGAGUUUUUUGGAAGCAGAGCUCCAAGGGGUCAUGUGGGAGGAAACAGCCAAGAAGCCAUCAAGAUAACAAAAGGGGAGAAACUCUCAGGGGCAGUUCUCCGCUUGAGACUGAGGAAACAGAAGUGAGACUAACAAUUGGGGAGUGCUCUCUGGCAGCCAUAUCAGAG
This is a long non-coding RNA of Suricata suricatta (meerkat), 233 nucleotides long. RefSeq lists it as uncharacterized. The record is from RefSeq and is a predicted model, not a curated record. The transcript is spliced from 3 exons. NCBI's taxonomy places the organism in Eukaryota, Metazoa, Chordata, Mammalia, Carnivora, Herpestidae.